This 81-nucleotide transfer RNA is filed under the name Gaeumannomyces tritici R3-111a-1. Its description in RNAcentral is "tRNA-Ser (GCT) (tRNA-Ser-GCT-1-1)". It matches the Rfam family "tRNA". From Rfam's summary of the family: Transfer RNA (tRNA) molecules are approximately 80 nucleotides in length. Their secondary structure includes four short double-helical elements and three loops (D, anti-codon, and T loops). RNAcentral also lists the same sequence under 1 other name. Lineage: Eukaryota; Fungi; Ascomycota; Sordariomycetes; Magnaporthales; Magnaporthaceae. The record is from RNAcentral.
GACAACGUGGGAGAGUGGUUAAUCCGUUGGCCUGCUAAGCCAAUGCCUUCGGGCGCGCGCGUUCGAAUCGCGUCGUUGUCG